GAUGAACGCUGGCGGCGUGCCUAAUACAUGCAAGUCGAGCGAACAGACGAGGAGCUUGCUCCUCUGACGUUAGCGGCGGACGGGUGAGUAACACGUGGAUAACCUACCUAUAAGACUGGGAUAACUUCGGGAAACCGGAGCUAAUACCGGAUAAUAUAUUGAACCGCAUGGUUCCAUAGUGAAAGACGGUUUUGCUGUCACUUAUAGAUGGAUCCGCGCCGCAUUAGCUAGUUGGUAAGGUAACGGCUUACCAAGGCAACGAUGCGUAGCCGACCCGAGAGGGUGAUGGCCGCCACUGGAGUAGAGACACGGUCCAGAUUCCUACGAAAGGCAGCAGUAGCGAUUCUUGCGCAAUGCGCGAAACCCUGACGCGGAAACGCCGCGUGAGUGAUAAGGGUCUUCGGAACGUAAAGCUCUGUUAUUAGUGAAUAACAAAUGUGUAAGUAACCAGAAACGUCUUGACGCUACCUAUUCAGAGAGCCACGGCUAACUUCGUC
RNAcentral lists this ribosomal RNA (497 nucleotides) under uncultured bacterium. RNAcentral describes it as "partial 16S ribosomal RNA". It matches the Rfam family "Bacterial small subunit ribosomal RNA", at positions 28 to 507 of the family's 1533-position model. The record is from RNAcentral.